RNAcentral lists this ribosomal RNA (663 nucleotides) under Synasterope sp. J57067. RNAcentral describes it as "SSU rRNA". It matches the Rfam family "Eukaryotic small subunit ribosomal RNA", at positions 317 to 974 of the family's 1831-position model. Lineage: Eukaryota; Metazoa; Arthropoda; Ostracoda; Myodocopida; Cylindroleberididae. The record is from RNAcentral.
AACUUUACGACGGUAGGUUACAGACCUACCGUGGUUAUAACAGGUGACGGGGAAUUAGGGUUACGAUUCCGGAGAGGGAGCCUGAGAAACGGCUGCCACAUCUAAGGAAGGCAGCAGGCGCGCAAAUUACCCACUCCCGGCACGGGGAGGUAGUGACGAAAAAUAACAAUACGGGACUCUACCGAGGCCUCGUAAUUGGAAUGAGUACAAUUUAAAAUCAUUAAUGAGGAUCUAUUGGAGGGCAAGUCUGGUGCCAGCAGCCGCGGUAAUUCCAGCUCCAAUAGCGUAUAUUAAAGUUGUUGCGGUUAAAAAGCUCGUAGUUGGAUCUCAGUUCUGGGUGAGCACGGGUCCGCCAUAACAUUGGUGGACUGCUGACUUGCCCGGUGCAAAAUCGCCCGGCUUCCCCCACGGUGCUCUUCACCGAGUGUCGUGGGUGGCCGACACGUUUACUUUGAGAAAACCAGAGUGCUUAAAGCAGGCGCAAGACGCCCGAAUGACUGUGCAUGGAAUAAUGGAAGAGGAUCUCGCUUCUGUAUUUGUUGGUUCCUCGGAAGGCGAGAUAUGAUAAUANAAGCCGUCGGGGGCAUCCGUAUGCGACGUAGAGGUGAAACUCUGGAUCGUCCACGACGAACUUCUGCGAAGCCUUUGCCNGAAUGUUUCGUU